CCUACGGGUGGCAGCAGUGAGGAAUAUUGGUCAAUGGGCGCGAGCCUGAACCAGCCAAGUAGCGUGAAGGAUGACUGCCCUACGGGUUGUAAACCUCUUUUAUAAAGGAAUAAAGUGAGGCACGUGUGCCUUUUUGUAUGUACCUUAUGAAUAAGGAUCGGCUAACUACGUGCCAGCAGCCGCGGUAAUACGGAGGAUUCGAGCGUUAUCCGGAUUUACUGGGUUUAAAGGGAGCGUAGAUGGGUUGGUAAGUCAGUUGUGAAAGUUUGCGGCUCAACCGUAAAAGUGCAAUGGAUACUGGCGGGCUUGAGUGCAGGUGAGGUAGGCGGAAUUCGUAGUGUAGCGGUGAAAUGCUUAGAUAUCACGAGGAACUCCGAUGGCGAAGGCAGCUUACUAGACUGCCACUGACAUUGAUGCUCGAAAGUGUGGGUAGCAAACAGGAUUAGAUACCCCUGUAGUC
RNAcentral lists this ribosomal RNA (460 nucleotides) under uncultured bacterium. RNAcentral describes it as "partial 16S ribosomal RNA". It matches the Rfam family "Bacterial small subunit ribosomal RNA", at positions 338 to 795 of the family's 1533-position model. The record is from RNAcentral.